CGCUGAUCACAUGACGUCUGUCGCUUCCCGUUUUCUUGCAGCAGGUUCAGGUUGGGUGAAGAUUGUGCUGUGAUCAUCUGUGAGUUUUUCAUCCAUACACGCAGCGCAUUGAGAAAUGUUGGCCCUCUUUAACCGGCUGCUCGACUGGAUCCGCUCGCUCUUCUGGAAGGAAGAGAUGGAGCUCACUUUGGUAGGACUGCAGUACUCUGGUAAAACAACUUUUGUCAACGUAAUUGCUUCUGGCCAGUUUAAUGAAGAUAUGAUCCCUACAGUCGGCUUCAACAUGAGGAAAGUGAGCAAAGGCAAUGUAACAAUUAAAAUUUGGGAUAUAGGUGGGCAGCCGCGCUUCAGGAGCAUGUGGGAGAGAUAUUGUCGUGGCGUCAAUGCCAUAGUGUAUAUGGUGGAUGCUGCAGACCGCGAAAAGGUCGAAGCCUCAAGAAAUGAGCUACACAACCUGCUAGAUAAACCACAGCUGCAAGGCAUUCCUGUACUCGUCCUUGGCAACAAAAGAGACCUUCCCAAUGCACUCGAUGAGAAGCAACUCAUUGAAAAGAUGAACCUGGCAGCCAUUCAAGACCGAGAGAUCUGCUGCUACUCAAUUUCAUGCAAAGAGAAAGACAAUAUUGAUAUCACAUUACAAUGGCUCAUCCAACAUUCAAAGUCCCGGAGGAGUUGAGAAAGUCCUCACCAAAUCAGUCCAGCUUUGCCUCUGUUUUUCGCUCAGCCCUGUGGUUCGGUCUCUGUCUCGCUUUUUCUCACUGUUACACAAAGACUCAGUAAAGCAUCAUCGUCACAGCAGUGUGCUUCAGGCAUCCCCUCACGCAUUGCUACAGAUUACCUUUUUUUUGCUAGAUGGACUUUUAUUUACCCUCACAUGUCCAAGUGGAGAGAGGCUUGUGAACUGGUGAAGAAAUUCAGCAUUUGGUAUUUGAAAGUUAAGUGCCUUCUGGAAAUACAUGAAUGAAUUAAAUCCAAUUUCCCCCAAUUAUAUGGAUGGUUCAUUAUCCAACCACACACACACAAUUGGCCAUAGAUGGCGUUAUUACAGCAACAGUAAACACUGCUAAUGCAAUAUGUGUGAUUGAUGAGAAUAGAUUUGCACAUAAUCGCUUCUUGGCAAACUGUACAGAGAUGAAUCUGCGCUUUUCAGUGGUUAUGUACUGUAUAUACAGUAGACAUCUGUUAUGCCUGCGUGGUGUUUAAACAUCUUCAGUCCUUCAUAAUUCACCUUAGCAGAAGCAGAUUGAUGUGUUGGUCUUGCGAUACAGCAUCAGUACUGUACAUAAUUUUUUUUAUUUAUGGCUUUAAUGUCGGCCAUGGUCAUGAAUUAAGGCCACGCUGUGAAAGAGCAGUUUAAAUCGAUUGCACAAAUGUAAAUAUGCUUUGGUUAUCAAAAUGUUUGAUUAAAUGAGUAUUAAACAGUGAAGUGAUUUUAUUAUUUUAUUUUAAAAAAUGGGUGGAGAAUUUUUCUGAUGCUAAGAUCAAAAUGGCUUCAUUUGUUUCUGCGUGCUGAUCGUUUGUGGUACUGAAAUAAGUAGUGGUCGACCAAUGUUUUUUUUUUUUUAAUGGCCGAUGCCAAUACUAAGAAAGCAAUGUGAUAUGAGACUAUGAAAAUUGGUGAAACUAAAUAAACAUUUAUUCGGCAGAAUAUGUAUAAACAUACCAUUUUAAGUAUUAAGUAAGUAAUUUUGAAAAAUAUUUUUAAAACAUUUGUUCUGUGGAUCUGAGAAAUUUUUGAAUUAGACUUUGCUGCACACCGAAGUGUUGUUGUGUGUAAAACAAUGUAACGUCACAUUAAAAAGGGAUUGGUCUGUCAGACAUUGGCUUUACAUCUGAUUGUCUUUGUAUACGGAACAAAUAACUUAAAGGGGACAUAUCAUGAAAAUCUGACUUUUUAAUGUUUAAGUGCUAUAAUUGGGUCCCCAGUACUUGUAUCAACCUAGAAAAUGUGAAAAAGAUCAAUCCAGUAACUUAGUUUUGGUAAACUAUUUUCUGCAAGCAUGUGAAAAAAUCAUUGAAAUUUGGCUCCCCUUGUGAUGUCAGAAAGGGAUAAUACCACCCCUUAAUCUGCCAACCACGGCACUGCCAUUUAGUGCAGAGAUCAACUCAUUUGCAUUUAUAAGGACACACCCAAAAACAGCACACCUACAAAUUUGCAAUUUUAACAUGUUAUAAUAAAUUAUCUAUAUGAUAUUUUGAGCUAGAACUUCACAUACGUACUCUGGGGACACCAGAGAUUUAUUUUACAUCUUAAAAAAGUCUUGUGAAAUGUCCCCUUUAAGGAGCAGGAAAGAUUUAUCGGCAAGUUGAAAAGAUUUAUCGGCCUAUGCCGAUAAUUAAAAAAUUCCAAAUAUUGGCCGAUAUAUCAGCCACUAUCAUAUAUCUGAUAUAUAUCAUAUAUGAUAUUAUCAUCUUUAAAACUCUGCAUUGAUGCUUCUUUCAGACUUUAUAAUCAUUGCCUUAUACUAGCAUUGAAAAUGUACUACAAAGAUGGUUUGUACAAUCUGUCCAGGAUAAAGUUACAGACAGUUAUAUUAUAUUACACUAUACAUCAGAGGUCUCCAACAUGGUGCCCGCACAGAGUCUGUGAGUUAUUAAUAGCCUCAAUUUUUAUAUUUAUUUACUACAUAUUUUUUAUAUUAGCUUGGCUUCUUUUAACAGUUUAAACAAUGGUUAAACAUACCAACAAUAAAAUAAAAUAAAAUCAACAAGUAAAACAAAAAGGUUUUGAGUAGAUUAUAUCAAAAAAGCCUUUCAGAUUGUUUUAUCCAUUGUGGUAGCCCUUGCUCACAAAAAGGUUGGAGACCCCUACAUCAUUUAUUUUUUUCAGCUCAUAUUUUUUUAAAUGAUCGACGUUUUACUUAAAAACUACUUGUGUUCAACUAUGAUGAUUGAAUUUAUUUUGGCCAAAAUAGCUGUAUUAAUCAUCUGCCAUAUUGUUGGAGUGAAGCUUUUAACAAAGUUUUUUUUUAAUGCUAUUUGUGUUUCACAAAAUGUGUGCUAAUGCUGGUAAUUAUUUUUCUUUAUUAUAACAUAUUUUUUUUAUAAAGGUUCAUAAUGGUUGCCAAGUUUUUUAUAUGAUGAUUGCAUAUUGUUUAUUUUGUUUAUUAUUAUUAAGGGCUCUCCCUAAAAUGUGAUUGUAGUUUUUUUCCUUUAUAUUUCUUAUGAGAGGUCAAAUAAUAUGCAGCAUACAAGAGUUCCCAAAAAUCCAAAUAUAAUUGUUCAUUAUUAAUGGGCAAAUUAUUAACAAACACAGAUGGUGUAAUGUGAUUUGUCUCUGCUUUGAUUGUACCAACACAUCACAUCCCAUAAUUCUCUGUGUUUCUUCAUUGAGAGCUGAUGUGUGUUGUCUAUGGGGGAAAGCUUUUUCCAUGUUUAUCUCUGUGCAGCCUUAAACACCAUACAUGACACAUGAAAAAUCUAUUUAUCAGUUUGCUGACUUUGUAAAUAUGAAAAAGUACAAAAACAAGAUUUGUUUUGCUGAGUGCUCUUAUGUGUGUUUUGCAUUUGGUUUAUUGUGAUUGCUCAAUAAAUUGUUUUUAGAGAGA
Misgurnus anguillicaudatus (oriental weatherfish) is the source of this 3548-nucleotide non-coding RNA. NCBI's taxonomy places the organism in Eukaryota, Metazoa, Chordata, Actinopteri, Cypriniformes, Cobitidae. The record is from RefSeq and is a predicted model, not a curated record.